This 596-nucleotide ribosomal RNA is filed under the name uncultured soil bacterium. Its description in RNAcentral is "bacterial SSU rRNA". It matches the Rfam family "Bacterial small subunit ribosomal RNA", at positions 8 to 636 of the family's 1533-position model. The record is from RNAcentral.
AGAGUUUGAUCAUGGCUCAGAAUCAACGCUGGCGGCGUGCCUAACACAUGCAAGUCGAACGAGAAAGUGGAGCAAUCCAUGAGUAAAGUGGCGACCGGGUGAGUAACACGUGACUAACCUACCUUCGAGUGGGGGAUAACUCCGGGAAACCGGAGCUAAUACCGCAUAACAUCGCGAGAUCAAAGCAGCAAUGCGCUGGAAGAGGGGGUCGCGGCUGAUUAGCUAGUUGGCGGGGUAACGGCCCACCAAGGCGAAGAUCGGUAUCCGGCCUGAGAGGGCGCACGGACACACUGGAACUGAAACACGGUCCAGACUCCUACGGGAGGCAGCAGUGGGGAAUUUUGCGCAAUGGGGGAAACCCUGACGCAGCAACGCCGCGUGGAGGAUGAAGCCCUUUGGGGCGUAAACUCCUUUCGACCCGGACGAUGAUGACGGUACGGGUGGAAGAAGCACCGGCUAACUCUGUGCCAGCAGCCGCGGUAAUACAGAGGGUGCAAGCGUUGUUCGGAAUUAUUGGGCGUAAGGGGCGCGUAGGCGGCGCGGUAAGUCACCUGUGAAAUCUCCCGGCUUAACUGGGAGCCUGCAGGCGAAACUAC